Molecule: ribosomal RNA, 468 nt
Filed under: uncultured bacterium
Lineage: Bacteria
Description: partial 16S ribosomal RNA
Rfam family: Bacterial small subunit ribosomal RNA
Source: RNAcentral
GACGAACGCUGGCGGCGUGCUUAACACAUGCGAGUCGAACGGAAAGGCCCUGCUUUUGUGGGGUGCUCGAGUGGCGAACGGGUGAGUAACACGUGAGUAACCUGCCCUUGACUUUGGGAUAACUUCAGGAAACUGGGGCUAAUACCGGAUAAGAGCUCCUGCUGCAUGGUGGGGGUUGGAAAGUUUCGGCGGUUGGGGAUGGACUCGCGGCUUAUCAGCUUGUUGGUGGGGUAGUGGCUUACCAAGGCUUUGACGGGUAGCCGGCCUGAGAGGGUGACCGGCCACAUUGGGACUGAGAUACGGCCCAGACUCCUACGGGAGGUAGCAGUGGGGAAUAUUGCACAAUGGGCGGAAGCCUGAUGCAGCAACGCCGCGUGCGGGAUGACGGCCUUCGGGUUGUAAACCGCUUUCGCCUGUGACGAAGCGUGAGUGACGGUAAUGGGUAAAGAAGCACCGGCUAACUACGUG